UACGGAGGGGGUUAGCGUUGUUCGGAAUUACUGGGAGUAAAGCGCGCGUAGGCGGACCAGAAAGUUGGGGGUGAAAUCCCGGGGCUCAACCCCGGAACGGCCUCCAAAACUCCUGGUCUUGAGUUCGAGAGAGGUGAGUGGAAUUCCGAGUGUAGAGGUGAAAUUCGUAGAUAUUCGGAGGAACACCAGUGGCGAAGGCGGCUCACUGGCUCGAUACUGACGCUGAGGUGCGAAAGUGUGGGGAGCAAACAGG
RNAcentral lists this ribosomal RNA (253 nucleotides) under uncultured bacterium. RNAcentral describes it as "partial 16S ribosomal RNA". It matches the Rfam family "Bacterial small subunit ribosomal RNA", at positions 524 to 776 of the family's 1533-position model. The record is from RNAcentral.